Molecule: long non-coding RNA, 1791 nt
Organism: Callithrix jacchus (white-tufted-ear marmoset)
Lineage: Eukaryota; Metazoa; Chordata; Mammalia; Primates; Cebidae
Source: Ensembl
CCAACGGGUAGCAGGAAAACCCGGAGCAGGGCAUUAAGGAGCCGGCGAGCGGACCAAGCAUGCGCAGUAGCGGUGGGUUGGUUUGAGAAGCCGCCAGGGAGCCAGCGCGGCUCCCUAGCUGCCUGGGGUAGGGGCGGGGCCCGCCUUAUAUGGGAGCUGCGUGGGGACAAACUGCGCGGGCCCAAGGCGCGGCGCGGAGGCCGGGCGGAGAGACGGCCACCUGGGGGACACAGCGCGCGGACGCCGGGCCAGUUCUUAAGGACAUCGGUAUUCAGACUUUUCAGGAGUGCUAGCUUACUCAUGACCGCGAUUUUCUGUAUCGGGGUUUUAUUGAAAUCACCUGGCGGUCUUGUGAAACUGCAGCUUCCGAUGGGCAGAUCAGAAGGGAAGCCCGAGACGCGACAUUUCCAGCACUCUCCGGGAGCGAAGCUGCUACCGCUGCCACCCUCUCUGCAAGGAGCCAGGGGAUGGAUGACCUCUAAGCAAACUUGGAUGGCUUUCUUCUCAUGUGGAAGAUGGCUGCUUAAGCUCCAGGCUUCACUUCUGCAUUCCAGCCAGAGGAAAAACCAACAUGUUCCCUCAUGAGAAGGACACCUCCCAACCUUCAGUUAUAUUUACUUUAUAAAACAUACAAGGGAGGUUAGAAAAUGUAGGGCCGGGCGCGGUGGCUCAAGCCUGUAAUCCCAGCACUUUGGGAGGCCGAGGCGGGUGGAUCACGAGGUCAAGAGAUCGAGACCAUCUGGUCAACAUGGUGAAACCCCGUCUCUACUAAAGAUACAAAAAAUUAGCUGGGCAUGGUGGCGCGUGCCUGUAAUCCCAGCUACUCGGGAGGCUGAGGCAGGAGAAUUGCCUGAACCCAGGAGGUGGAGGUUGCAGUGAGCCGAGAUUGCACCAUUGCACUCCAGCCUGGGUAGCAAGAGCGAAACUCUGUCUUAAAAAAAAAAAAAUGUAGUCACAAUCCAGGAAUCUUGUUAAAAAUUUGGGACUCUAUUAAGAAGGAAGGAGGAGAGAAUGAAUAUUGGGGUAUAACAAUUAGUUUCUGCACCAGAAUUGUUGCCUAUCUUUUGUUCUUACCUAAAGUGCUUAAGUAGGUUUUCGUUGAGUGCAACAUUUCUUUCUUUCUUUCUCUUUCUUUCUCUCUCUCUCUCUUUCUUUCUUUCUUUUGAGGCAGAGUCUUGCUCUGUUGCCCAGGCUGGAGUGCAGUGUCAUGAUCUCAGCUCACUGCAACCUCCGCUUCCAAGGUUCAAGUGAUUCUCCUGCCUUGGCCUUCUGAGUAGCUGGGACUACAGGUGCAGGCCACCACACUCAGCUAAUUAUUUGUAGUUUUAGGUAGCAAGGGGGUUUCACCAUGUUGGCCAGACUGGUCUCAAACUACUGAUGUAAGGGAUCCGCCUGUCUCGGCCUCCCGAAGUGCUGGGACUAAAGGCAUGAGCCACUGCACCUGGCCCUGAGUGCAACAUUUCACACCGUGUGUUGAGGGUGGUCCAUAGAAUUUCUGGGUUACAGGGUGUGUGCCUUUUAAUUUUCAUGGAUAUUAUUACCAACUGCCAUCCACUGACAAGGUACCAAGAUUAUAAGAGAAUGUCUGUUUCCCCAGAACCUCGAUAGUCCGAAUUGUAUUGAUACUUUUUUUUAUCUUUACCAAUAUGAGGGUUGAAAUGUGGUAUCCCAGAUGGUCUUAAUGUGACUUAAUAGGACUUCCUCUCACUUUUUAGUGAAGUUGAAUAUUUUCUCAAAUGUCUAGGAACCGUUUGUAUUUCCUUAUCUCUGAAUUGUUUUCAUCACUUGCCC